CCACAGCCAGCUCGCGUCUCGGUCCACGCUGCCCGUCGCCGCCGCCAUGGGAGUGCAGGUGGAGACCAUCUCCCCCGGAGACGGGCGCACCUUCCCGAAGCGAAGCGCGGCCAGACCUGCGUGGUGCACUACACGGGGAUGCUUGAAGAUGGAAAGAAAUUUGAUUCCUCCCGGGACAGAAACAAGCCCUUUAAGUUUAUGAUAGGCAAGCAGGAGGUGAUCCGAGGCUGGGAAGAAGGGGUUGCCCAGAUGAGUGUGGGCCAGAGAGCCAAACUGACUAUCUCCCCAGACUACGCCUACGGUGCCACUGGACACCCAGGCAUUAUCCCACCAAACGCCACUCUCGUCUUUGACGUGGAACUUCUAAAACUGGAAUGACAGGAAUGGCCUCCUUGUUAGCUCCCAGUUCUUGGAUGUGCCAUGGAGAGACCUGGCGCCUCCAGAUGCGUGCAGGCGAGUCCACCCGGAGCUUUUCCUGAUGUUCCACUACACUCUUUGUGUAAACAUCUACCCCGACUGAAUGUGUCUGUCACCCAGCUUCGCUCCUCCCCUUUCUCCUCGUAUGUGUGUUGACCUAAACUAUAUGCCAUAAACCUCAAGUUAUUCAU
Condylura cristata (star-nosed mole) is the source of this 608-nucleotide RNA transcript. It is a transcript of the gene named peptidyl-prolyl cis-trans isomerase FKBP1A pseudogene, with no coding region annotated. The transcript has a single exon. Lineage: Eukaryota; Metazoa; Chordata; Mammalia; Eulipotyphla; Talpidae. The record is from RefSeq and is a predicted model, not a curated record.